CCAUGUUAACCUAGUGUUUCUAUUUAUACUUAGGACAACAUGAGAGCCAAGCAGUUCUGUUUUGAUUGUUAAAAGCAACUGAACAGAGGCAGCAGAUGAUGCAUUUGGGAUAAAGAAAACAAAUGCUAUAAAUACGGAAGCAGAAAAAAUAAACAG
Molecule: long non-coding RNA, 156 nt
Filed under: Sus scrofa (pig)
Lineage: Eukaryota; Metazoa; Chordata; Mammalia; Artiodactyla; Suidae
Description: lncRNA (ENSSSCG00035063995.1)
Source: RNAcentral